Molecule: ribosomal RNA, 465 nt
Filed under: uncultured Gammaproteobacteria bacterium
Lineage: Bacteria; Pseudomonadati; Pseudomonadota; Gammaproteobacteria
Description: bacterial SSU rRNA
Rfam family: Bacterial small subunit ribosomal RNA
Source: RNAcentral
UGGACAAUGGGCGCAAGCCUGAUCCAGCCAUACCGCGUGGUGAAGAAGGCUUCGGGUUGUAAAGCCCUUUUGUUGGGAAAGAAAUCCAGCCGGCUAAUACCUGGUUGGGAUGACGGUACCCAAAGAAUAAGCACCGGCUAACUUCGUGCCAGCAGCCGCGGUAAUACGAAGGGUGCAAGCGUUACUCGGAAUUACUGGGCGUAAAGCGUGCGUAGGUGGUCGUUUAAGUCCGUUGUGAAAGCCCUGGGCUCAACCUGGGAACUGCAGUGGAUACUGGGCGACUAGAGUGUGGUAGAGGGUAGCGGAAUUCCUGGUGUAGCAGUGAAAUGCGUAGAGAUCAGGAGGAACAUCCAUGGCGAAGGCAGCUACCUGGACCAAYACUGACACUGAGGCACGAAAGCGUGGGGAGCAAACAGGAUUAGAUASCGUGURGUCCACGCCSUAAACGAUGCGAASUGGAUGUUG